Molecule: long non-coding RNA, 628 nt
Filed under: Papio anubis (olive baboon)
Lineage: Eukaryota; Metazoa; Chordata; Mammalia; Primates; Cercopithecidae
Description: lncRNA (ENSPANG00000049544.1)
Source: RNAcentral
GCAAAGCCGGCUCAUAGUCAGAGACUGCUGGGAGAGCCGCGGGCCCAGAGUGGGCGGAGCUGGCCGCAGACCCCCCCCUCGGUGGGCGGGGCGUUCCUGCUCCGCCCCGCCCCGCGCACAGCCGAGCGCCGCGCCGCUCGGCCCCGCCCCUCCCCGGCCCUGCCCCCUUCACCUCCCUGCAGCUCCUCCCCUCUCCCAUUGGCCGAGGUGGAGACCCUCCUCUCUGCCCAAUGGCCGCCGCCGCGGCUCGGCCGUCCGCGUCCUGACUGGCCAGCUACAGACAGAGUGGCGGGGUGCGGACCAAUAGGAAGAGGCGGCUCGAUGAAUGGCUGGCCCGGGUGGGGAAGGCAGGAGGCGGCGAUCCCGGCGGAGGGGGCCGUUCGCCAGCUCCGAGGCAGAAAGUGCCACGACUCCACACGCGCGCACGCAGCCAGCGAGCGGCCGGAGCGGACGGCGGACGGGGCGGGCGGCGUCAGGGUCGCGGCGUCUACAGCUGCUCGGGGGCGGUUUCUUGGUGGAGGCUCGGCCGGCUCCUCUCUCCCGGCUCCGCGGCGGCGGCGAAGGCGGCGGCUCCUGCCCUCUCGCUCUCCCUCUCGUGUCUCUGGCUGCAGGUGAAAGGAAAGCAAGC